RNAcentral lists this ribosomal RNA (248 nucleotides) under uncultured Ruminiclostridium sp. RNAcentral's name for it is "partial 16S ribosomal RNA". It matches the Rfam family "Bacterial small subunit ribosomal RNA", at positions 524 to 771 of the family's 1533-position model. Lineage: Bacteria; Bacillati; Bacillota; Clostridia; Eubacteriales; Oscillospiraceae. The record is from RNAcentral.
UACGUAUGGAGCAAGCGUUAUCCGGAUUUACUGGGUGUAAAGGGCGUGUAGCCGGGCUGACAAGUCAGAUGUGAAAUCCCGCGGCUUAACCGCGGAACUGCAUUUGAAACUGUCGGUCUUGAGUGGAGUAGAGGCAAGCGGAAUUCCGAGUGUAGCGGUGAAAUGCGUAGAUAUUAGGAGGAACACCAGUGGCGAAGGCGGCCUGCUGGACGACAACUGACGGUGAGGCGCGAAAGCGUGGGGAGCAA